Molecule: long non-coding RNA, 359 nt
Organism: Hyaena hyaena (striped hyena)
Lineage: Eukaryota; Metazoa; Chordata; Mammalia; Carnivora; Hyaenidae
Exons: 2
Source: RefSeq, a predicted model, not a curated record
UAUAAACUGGGAACAAUAUUCCUGCCUCCCUCAGGCUUUCUGUGAGGAUCUGAUGAGACAGUAUCUACAAAGUGCACAGCAAGUAUGUGCUAUGCAAGUAUUGAGUAUUAUCAUCAACAUACGGAUGACUCUCUGGAAGGAAAAUUUCCCAAAGGAUCUGUAACAAGCCUUUUGCCCUCAGAAGCAAAUUGCCCUGCAAAAAGGCUCACAGGGCCAUCAGCCACAUACAAUCAUACCCAAUUCUCCAUAUACUUAGAACACUCUUAAAAACCUGACCAACUUGAUGUGGGGAAAUGAAUCUCACUGUAAUUUUUAUUUCCAUUUCUUUGAAGUAGAACAUAAAAGUUAUUUCAGAUGGC